Salarias fasciatus (jewelled blenny) is the source of this 1442-nucleotide long non-coding RNA. RefSeq lists it as uncharacterized. The record is from RefSeq and is a predicted model, not a curated record. Lineage: Eukaryota; Metazoa; Chordata; Actinopteri; Blenniiformes; Blenniidae. The transcript is spliced from 2 exons.
CUCAGACUCACCGCUGAAUAAACAACAGCUCGCCCUCACAAAAAAAGUAAGUAUGCUGUUCUAAAUGACUACCGAAUUGCCCUAGAUGGGCCAAUUUGCCAAAAUGUUGAAGUAUCGCUUUAAUGGACUGAUUGAGACUGAAACGCCACAGUCCUGGCAGUUUUCCCAGCAUGCACCGGGAGUCAGGGAGCAGGCCUGGGAGCAGUUCGCUGUGUGAAGCUGCUCUGAGCAGUGAAGCAAUCCGUCGUUAAUCCAUGAGCAGAAGGACCCAUGUUCUACCUGAGCCACUGCCGGAUAAACUGCUGCUGUUUAUAAAAUGUUACAUUUUGAGCAAAACGUUUGGAUAUUGGGGGUUCAGCACACACACACACACACACACACACACACACACACACACACACACACACACACACACUCCCCUGUGUGGUUUUCCUUUGCCAGGUCAGGGGUCAGGAGGUCAACAGCAGUGAGAGGAGCGUGUUCCUUCGGUCGGGCGUGACCUCUGCUCUGUCCUCGGGGCUCACUGGGAGCAGAUGGAGAGCCUGGUCCAGUGGUUUCUCUGCCUCAUGGUGCUGAGAAGCUGAAGCUCCAGCAGGGGGCAGCAUCUCCCAGCAGGAACCACACUUCCAGUGUGGACUGACUGAGUGUGGCCUGAGGUCAAAGGUGGAGCUGCAGCAGCAUCCUGCUGGAGCUCCAGAUCCGGUGGAACAGCUGGAACCAGGCCUGGAGGCUGGAGAGAAGGUCUGCAUCAAGAACAAAAUCAAAGAAACAACCUUUAAAAUCCUUCAUAAUAUCAUCCAGCUAAAAAAACAUUGCAAAGAUUUAAGUUAAACACAGACUCCAGCUGCUGUUUCUGUACAAAGGAGAUGAAACAGUCCAACAGCUCUUCUCUCAGCGGAGCUUCAGUCAAACUUUCUGGACUAAAGCUGCAGUUUUUUUGUCAAAUAGAACCAAAGGAACCGUCCGCCUCCAGGAGAUCCUCAAUCUGUUCAACACCCACUUCCACCAGAGUAAGGAAACACGCCUGUUAACCAGCUGAUGAUACUGCUGGGGGGAUUUCAUAUCCACAGAAUGAAAUGGGCGGAGAACAAACCGAACUGGAACCACUUUCUAGAAGAGUUAAAACUUUACAUAAAAUACUUCGCUAACUCUGACAACUUAAAGGCUGUAAAGACGACGGCUCUAAUGGAGAAAUUCUGCACCAAUCUGAUGGAUCAGUAAAUCCCUGCUCCGGUAGCUUAUUGUUGUUUUUUCUAUUUUCCUGUGAACGUUGUUAUUUUUGUUUAAUAAGGCCUCCCCUGGCGGCAGAGCUGAGACUUCUGAAUGUAAUGACAGGUAAACGGUGUGUGUCUGUCUAAAUGUUUUGUUUGUUAGUACUGUUUUUUGUCUUAAAAAAAAAAAAAAAGACACCACUUCCUCUGUCUCCUGGGACGACUUCCUCU